This 296-nucleotide long non-coding RNA is filed under the name Elaeis guineensis (African oil palm). Its description in RNAcentral is "long non-coding RNA (EGUI_LNC022541)". The record is from RNAcentral. Lineage: Eukaryota; Viridiplantae; Streptophyta; Magnoliopsida; Arecales; Arecaceae.
CACGCAUUCUAUAGUUAUUUUGCACGGUAAUAAAAGCAUCAAAAAAGAAAUACAUACAUUUUUAUUAUCAAGAAUAAGCUUAAAACAUUUCUCUUUUCAAAGUUGUUGGCUCUUAAUAAGGUUAAUUCAAGGGCAAAAGUCAUAGCCGUUAACGUCAUGUCAUGGUUAUGAUGAUGGUUCUGGAGGCCUCCAGGUUGAUGUAUAUGAUAAUCUAUAAUGAAUCAUUAUAAUAACUAUCCAUGGGGCUAUUACUUUCUUGGUUGCCCAUCCACCUUUCUUGUUUCAAAAAUUGAAAU